GUAGGGGGCGAGCGUUGUCCGGAUUUAUUGGGCGUAAAGAGCUCGUAGGCGGUUGCGUAAGUCGGAUGUGAAAACUCAGGGCUCAACCCUGAGAUGCCAUUCGAUACUGCGCUGACUCGAGUCCGGUAGGGGAGCAUGGAAUUCCUGGUGUAGCGGUGAAAUGCGCAGAUAUCAGGAGGAACACCAGUGGCGAAGGCGGUGCUCUGGGCCGGUACUGACGCUGAGGAGCGAAAGCAUGGGUAGCAAACAGGAUUAGAUACCCUGGUAGUCCCAUGCCCGUAAACGUUGGGCACUAGGUGUGGGGCCUACUUAACGGGUUUCCGUGCCGUAGCUAACGCAUUAAGUGCCCCCCGCCUGGGGAGUACGGCCGCAAGGCUA
Molecule: ribosomal RNA, 378 nt
Filed under: uncultured organism
Description: partial 16S ribosomal RNA
Rfam family: Bacterial small subunit ribosomal RNA
Source: RNAcentral